AUGUCUUUAUCAAUACUUGACUGCAGUGUUUUAUUGCUUUCCUUCCCAGAGGAGCCCAAUGUCAGCCUUUCACAGAACUGUAGUGGGGAAGUGAGGAUAGAUGGCGUUCCAGUGUGUGCUAGUAACUGGGAUCUAUCCUAUGCACACAAAGUUUGCCAAGAAAAGCUUUGUGGCAAUGCUGUCUUCAUUAAACCCAAAGCUCCAUCAAAGGGUUCAGGUAACAUUUACCAUGUCAGCUGUGAAAAGUACCAUUCCAUCAUUGGCCAGUGCAGGAGGACUAAAGGAAAGUGUGACACAAAUGUGGUGUUCAUUACUUGUAGUGAAAGUGUAAAGUUCCGCACGACUGAAAAACAUGGAGGUGUACUUGAAGUCAAUUAUCGAGAUAAGUGGGAAAGAGUAUGUCCAUUUAAUCCUUCCCCAGUUUUAGUGAGAAAGCUCUGUGAAGUGAUUAAGAAAGAAAACCAUAGCAUCUCUAAGGAAGACAAACAGGUCAACUUAGAAACAACACUGGAGUUCACUGAUGUUACCAUGGACGUCAAGCACUCCGUCAAACAACGUUCCUGUGGAAACGCUUCUCCAGCUGAAAUACUUUGUGAAGACUAUGAAAAACAUCCCUCUAUAUCCAUAGCACCUAUUAUCAUGGGUGUGAGACUUCUUGUUGUGGUGAUCUUGACUUUUGUAUUUGUACGAUUCUGUGUCAAGAGAGCGAGGAGGUCCAGAGCUUCAUCAAGAAUGCUGCCAGGGAAAGAACUGGAGUUUCAAGGUGGGGAACAUGAAGAUGUCACUGACAAAGAAAAUGAGAUGGAAGACUUCAGUUGUGGUGGUGUCAGAUCAGAGGCUGAAUUAAUCUCAGAGAAGGAUGAUAUUCAAGCAGAUGAGGCUCGACCCCUGACCUUUCCAGGCACUACUGCCAUCAACAUCAACACACAUAAAGAUGGGGUGACCUAUCAAGUGGAAAAUCCAGUGGAGAGUUUUGACGACAUCGAUACAAUCGCUGGAACCACACUGACUACAGCAGAGGUCCAUGUCAGCCACACAUGACUUAAACACAGCAGCCCCAGGAUUGGUGCGAAGGAAUGAGGACUAAAUGAAAAACAAUAUUAAAAUCUUUAAAUGCAAUAUACAUUUAAUGAAAUGGCUGAAGGAAAACUAUAUUUGAUGCAAGAACUUGCUGUAAAAACAAAAACAAUCUCUCUUUUGAUACUGUAUAGCAAAAACUCUUUAAUGCAAAAUGUAUAAGAGUGAUAAGGUAUUACUCUGAGUAAAAUAUGAUCUUUAAAGCAUAAAUAUUCAAUAUCUUGUGGUUGUCGUCUUGAUAUUUUCAAUGUGUCAGUAGAUGGUCGUUGAGACACCAGAGUCUCAGUUGUAGUAGUGCUAAGCUGGUCUGUUUAGUCUUCAUCUUAAAAAUGCUCAACUUUACAAAUAAAAAACUAUUAGAUUUCAUUUAUUAUCUUUUGUGUUUAUUUCUUCUCAUGGUUGUAGCUUUUUUUUCUGCAGCUAAUUUAGGGCUAACUUUCACAUUCAUGACAAAUGUUCACAGAACACAUUUUUCUAUAACUCAC
Long non-coding RNA from Oreochromis niloticus (Nile tilapia), 1562 nucleotides. The record is from Ensembl. NCBI's taxonomy places the organism in Eukaryota, Metazoa, Chordata, Actinopteri, Cichliformes, Cichlidae.